RNAcentral lists this ribosomal RNA (1552 nucleotides) under Escherichia coli. RNAcentral's name for it is "bacterial SSU rRNA". It matches the Rfam family "Bacterial small subunit ribosomal RNA". The record is from RNAcentral. Lineage: Bacteria; Pseudomonadati; Pseudomonadota; Gammaproteobacteria; Enterobacterales; Enterobacteriaceae.
AAAUUGAAGAGUUUGAUCAUGGCUCAGAUUGAACGCUGGCGGCAGGCCUAACACAUGCAAGUCGAACGGUAACAGGAAGCAGCUUGCUGCUUUGCUGACGAGUGGCGGACGGGUGAGUAAUGUCUGGGAAACUGCCUGAUGGAGGGGGAUAACUACUGGAAACGGUAGCUAAUACCGCAUAACGUCGCAAGACCAAAGAGGGGGACCUUAGGGCCUCUUGCCAUCGGAUGUGCCCAGAUGGGAUUAGCUAGUAGGUGGGGUAACGGCUCACCUAGGCGACGAUCCCUAGCUGGUCUGAGAGGAUGACCAGCCACACUGGAACUGAGACACGGUCCAGACUCCUACGGGAGGCAGCAGUGGGGAAUAUUGCACAAUGGGCGCAAGCCUGAUGCAGCCAUGCCGCGUGUAUGAAGAAGGCCUUCGGGUUGUAAAGUACUUUCAGCGGGGAGGAAGGGAGUAAAGUUAAUACCUUUGCUCAUUGACGUUACCCGCAGAAGAAGCACCGGCUAACUCCGUGCCAGCAGCCGCGGUAAUACGGAGGGUGCAAGCGUUAAUCGGAAUUACUGGGCGUAAAGCGCACGCAGGCGGUUUGUUAAGUCAGAUGUGAAAUCCCCGGGCUCAACCUGGGAACUGCAUCUGAUACUGGCAAGCUUGAGUCUCGUAGAGGGGGGUAGAAUUCCAGGUGUAGCGGUGAAAUGCGUAGAGAUCUGGAGGAAUACCGGUGGCGAAGGCGGCCCCCUGGACGAAGACUGACGCUCAGGUGCGAAAGCGUGGGGAGCAAACAGGAUUAGAUACCCUGGUAGUCCACGCCGUAAACGAUGUCGACUUGGAGGUUGUGCCCUUGAGGCGUGGCUUCCGGAGCUAACGCGUUAAGUCGACCGCCUGGGGAGUACGGCCGCAAGGUUAAAACUCAAAUGAAUUGACGGGGGCCCGCACAAGCGGUGGAGCAUGUGGUUUAAUUCGAUGCAACGCGAAGAACCUUACCUGGUCUUGACAUCCACGGAAGUUUUCAGAGAUGAGAAUGUGCCUUCGGGAACCGUGAGACAGGUGCUGCAUGGCUGUCGUCAGCUCGUGUUGUGAAAUGUUGGGUUAAGUCCCGCAACGAGCGCAACCCUUAUCCUUUGUUGCCAGCGGUCCGGCCGGGAACUCAAAGGAGACUGCCAGUGAUAAACUGGAGGAAGGUGGGGAUGACGUCAAGUCAUCAUGGCCCUUACGACCAGGGCUACACACGUGCUACAAUGGCGCAUACAAAGAGAAGCGACCUCGCGAGAGCAAGCGGACCUCAUAAAGUGCGUCGUAGUCCGGAUUGGAGUCUGCAACUCGACUCCAUGAAGUCGGAAUCGCUAGUAAUCGUGGAUCAGAAUGCCACGGUGAAUACGUUCCCGGGCCUUGUACACACCGCCCGUCACACCAUGGGAGUGGGUUGCAAAAGAAGUAGGUAGCUUAACCUUCGGGAGGGCGCUUACCACUUUGUGAUUCAUGACUGGGGUGAAGUCGUAACAAGGUAACCGUAGGGGAACCUGCGGUUGGAUCACCUCCUUACCUUAAAGAA